Molecule: ribosomal RNA, 424 nt
Filed under: uncultured prokaryote
Description: bacterial SSU rRNA
Rfam family: Bacterial small subunit ribosomal RNA
Source: RNAcentral
UGAGGAAUAUUGGACAAUGGGCGCAAGCCUGAUCCAGCCAUGCCGCGUGAGUGAUGAAGGCCUUAGGGUUGUAAAGCUCUUUCACCGGUGAAGAUAAUGACGGUAACCGGAGAAGAAGCCCCGGCUAACUUCGUGCCAGCAGCCGCGGUAAUACGAAGGGGGCUAGCGUUGUUCGGAAUUACUGGGCGUAAAGCGCGCGUAGGCGGACCGUUAAGUCGGGGGUGAAAUCCCAGAGCUCAACUCUGGAACUGCCUUCGAUACUGGCGGUCUCGAGUCCGGGAGAGGUGAGUGGAAUUCCGAGUGUAGAGGUGAAAUUCGUAGAUAUUGGGAGGAAUACCGGUGGCGAAGGCGACCGCCUGGACGGGUACUGACACUGAGGCGCGAAAGCGUGGGGAGCAAACAGGAUUAGAUACCCCUGUAGUCC